CAACAUUUUAGGAAUUAGGGGCCAAAAAGGGCCCAAAUAAGCAUUUUCUUGGUUUUCGCACUAUAACUUUAGUUUAAGUUAAUACAAAUCUAUGAAAUUUUGACACAAGGUUUAUGACCACAAAAGAACGGCUGGGAUUGAUUUUGGGAGUUUUGGUUUCAACAGUUUAGGAAGUAGGGGCCAAAAAAGGGCCCAAAUAAGCAUUAUUCUUGGUUUUCGCACAAUAACUUUAGUUUAAGUAAAUAGAAAUCAAUGAAAUUUAAACACAAUGUUAAUGACUACAAAAGGAAGGUUGGUAUUGAUUUUGGAGUUUAGGUCCCAACAGUUUAGGAAUUAGGGGCCAAAAGGGACCCAAAUAAGCAUUUUUCUUGGUUUUCGCACAUAACGUUAGUAUAAGUAAACAGAAUCUAUGAAAUUUAAACACAAGGUUUUAUGACCAUAAAAGGAAGGUUGGUAUUGAUUUUGGGAGUUUUGGUCCCAACAGAAUAAGGGGCCCAAAG
Molecule: long non-coding RNA, 500 nt
Filed under: Mytilus galloprovincialis (Mediterranean mussel)
Lineage: Eukaryota; Metazoa; Mollusca; Bivalvia; Mytilida; Mytilidae
Source: RNAcentral